RNAcentral lists this ribosomal RNA (436 nucleotides) under Paenibacillus sp. G_R32. RNAcentral describes it as "bacterial SSU rRNA". It matches the Rfam family "Bacterial small subunit ribosomal RNA", at positions 173 to 620 of the family's 1533-position model. The record is from RNAcentral. Lineage: Bacteria; Bacillati; Bacillota; Bacilli; Caryophanales; Paenibacillaceae.
UUCUUUCUUCUCCUGAGGACCGAAUGACUGGCGGAUCAAUCUGCUGCUUGGGGAUGGGCCUGCGGCGCAUUAGCUAGUUGGUGGGGUAACGGCCCACCAAGGCGACGAUGCGUAUCCGACCUGAGAGGGUGAACGGCCACACUGGGACUGAGACACGGCCCAUACUCCUACGGGAGGCAGCACUACGGAAUCUUCCGCAAUGGGCGAAAGCCUGACGGAGCUCGCCGCGUGAGUGAUGAAGGUUUUCGGAUCGAAAGCUCUGUUGCCAGGGAAUAACGUCCGGUACAAUACUGCUGCGGAGUGACGGUACCUGAGAAGAAGCCCCGGCUAAUACUUGCCAAAGGCGCGUAUACUAGGGGGUAAGGCGUGUUCGGAAUAAUGGGGUAAGCGCGCGCGGCGGUAUUUAAUCUGGGGUUAACCUUGGGUCACUGAGGUC